UCCGUGGUGGCCUAUUGGUUAAGAUUCUGCGCUCCCAAUGCAAGAGGCCCAGGUUCAAGCCCUGAUCAAGGAA
Molecule: transfer RNA, 73 nt
Filed under: Ovis aries (sheep)
Lineage: Eukaryota; Metazoa; Chordata; Mammalia; Artiodactyla; Bovidae
Rfam family: tRNA
About the family: Transfer RNA (tRNA) molecules are approximately 80 nucleotides in length. Their secondary structure includes four short double-helical elements and three loops (D, anti-codon, and T loops).
Source: Rfam by way of RNAcentral